RNAcentral lists this ribosomal RNA (571 nucleotides) under Byssoascus striatosporus. RNAcentral describes it as "partial 28S ribosomal RNA". It matches the Rfam family "Eukaryotic large subunit ribosomal RNA", at positions 37 to 611 of the family's 3401-position model. The record is from RNAcentral. Lineage: Eukaryota; Fungi; Ascomycota; Leotiomycetes; Myxotrichaceae.
AGCAUAUCAAUAAGCGGAGGAAAAGAAACCAACAGGGAUUGCCUCAGUAACGGCGAGUGAAGCGGCAACAGCUCAAAUUUGAAAUCUGGCUCCUUUGGGGUCCGAGUUGUAAUUUGGAGAAGAUGCUUCGGGUACGGUCCCGGUCUAAGUUCCUUGGAACAGGACGUCACAGAGGGUGAGAAUCCCGUACGUGGUCGGUGGCCGUGCCCGUGUGAAGCUCUUUCGACGAGUCGAGUUGUUUGGGAAUGCAGCUCAAAAUGGGUGGUAAAUUUCAUCUAAAGCUAAAUAUUGGCCAGAGACCGAUAGCGCACAAGUAGAGUGAUCGAAAGAUGAAAAGCACUUUGGAAAGAGAGUUAAACAGUACGUGAAAUUGUUGAAAGGGAAGCGCUUGCAACCAGACUUGCGCGCGGUCGAUCAUCCUGGGUUCGCCCGGGUGCACUCGGCCGCGCUCAGGCCAGCAUCGGUUCGGGUGGUUGGAUAAAGGCCUCGGGAACGUGGCUCCCCUCGGGGAGUGUUAUAGCCCGAGGUGCAAUGCAGCCUACCUGGACCGAGGACCGCGCUUCGGCUAGGA